This 251-nucleotide unclassified non-coding RNA is filed under the name Hevea brasiliensis (rubber tree). The record is from RNAcentral. Lineage: Eukaryota; Viridiplantae; Streptophyta; Magnoliopsida; Malpighiales; Euphorbiaceae.
GGCAAAUUUUCAGAGAUUUUAUGCCCAUGAAAGAUCUCAUUUCACAAGGACAUACAGAACUUAGAACAAAUUUAUGACAUCACAUAAUAAUGAAAAGAAGAACUAUCAAUCUUACUCUGUUGAUCAGUUAAGGUUCAAAUCAGAUAUCAACCAUGAUAAGAAUAUGAAACGAAAGUAAUAAGAAUCAGUCCUUGAGUCACAGGUCAAAAAUACAAUGCCAAACCUUGAUAUUCCUUUGACGGGCAGCAAGC